AACGGCCGUACCAUGCUAAAUAUACCGGUUUUCGUUAGAUCACCGAAGUCAAGCAUCAUUGGGCGCGGUCAGUACUUGGGUGGGUGACCACC
RNAcentral lists this ribosomal RNA (92 nucleotides) under Caerostris darwini. Lineage: Eukaryota; Metazoa; Arthropoda; Arachnida; Araneae; Araneidae. The record is from RNAcentral.